This 251-nucleotide ribosomal RNA is filed under the name uncultured bacterium. Its description in RNAcentral is "partial 16S ribosomal RNA". It matches the Rfam family "Bacterial small subunit ribosomal RNA", at positions 104 to 339 of the family's 1533-position model. The record is from RNAcentral.
GGGUGAGUAACACGUGACCAAUCUACCUUCGGGAGGGGGACAACCUGGGGAAACUCGGGCUAAUACCGCAUAUCGUCCACGGGCCGCAUGGCCUGUGGAUAAAAGGGAGCCUCUGCUUGCAAGCUCUCACCCGAAGAGGAGGUCGCGGCGUAUCAGCUAGUUGGUGGGGUAAUGGCCUACCAAGGCAACGACGCGUAGCGGGUCUGAGAGGACGACCCGUCACAUUGGGACUGAGAUACGGCCCAGACUCC